Molecule: long non-coding RNA, 1965 nt
Organism: Bolinopsis microptera
Lineage: Eukaryota; Metazoa; Ctenophora; Tentaculata; Lobata; Bolinopsidae
Exons: 4
Source: RefSeq, a predicted model, not a curated record
GCCCAGUUCACUGUUGCCUCGCGUUAUUCCAUCAUCCAUAUUUCUGCUCUUAGUUGCUUUAUAAUGUGUCAGCAGUAAUCAGCCCUGCUGUAUUAUAUAUUGUGCUUGAUUGUUGAUACCUAAUUAAUUAACUGUUUACGAUGGCAGUUAUGGUGGAUGAUGAUUAAUCACUCUACAAUCGCCUGUCACGUGACUUCUUCAACCCGUUCUGUAGAUGGCCCUAAACAACUAUUCGAAACCCGGAAACCAUAACCCUCUAAUCAGAUCCCAACCCUAACGGCCUAACCCUAACCAAAUCCUUAACAAAAGCAUAUACUGAAACACUAUAGAGAAAUUAGGCUAACUUCCUUAUACGGUCAUAUCACGUGAGCGAGACAGUUUUUCGCCAAUAUCUCGUUAGGGGAGAAUUUUAACCUUAUGUCAUGGGGGUAAUAGGUAAGUACUUAGUAACCUCUUUGCUUUUAUUCGAGCCUUUUAUUAAAUCGAAGUUACAGUUCACGAGGUUGAUCCUUUGGGAGAUAUUAAAUCCUGUUUUACUAUUAUUUAUAAAUUCUAACGUUUAACUUUAAUAAUAAUAAGUAAGUUUGGACGCAGACUAGAAACGAGUUUAAUCGACUAAGUUUUUGAUUUUGUGUACCUUUUUAUCAUACAACUUUUUAAUUUCAGCAAAUUUUAGUUAAAGAGUAAAUCAAAGUUAGCAAUCAUUGAACUCAAUAGUUAAAAAGGUGACUGUAAAAAUAGAACUAAGAUUUCGAUACUUUUAAAUGAACUUCUAGUUCUAAUGAUAUAAUUUUAAAUUAUUAGAUGUUUAAAUUUUCCUGAUAGCUGGAUCAUAGUCAUGUAGAAAUUAGGUUAAACAUUGUCAUGCAGAAAUUAGGUUGAAAUAAUUUUGUCCAUAGAAAACACAGUCACGCCUUACAUUAUUACAAGCUUUAAAGGGCUCGUGAGUCGUGUUAGUGUUACUAUUACUUUUGAGCUUGAAAGCAGACAAAACUUUGCUUAUUUGUUUGUUUAUUAUUUUGUUUGUUAUUAGAGAAAGAAGACAAUAUUACCUCUCGAUUAUUUCAGGAGAAGCUAAAAGCGCUGAAAGACAAAGAAGCAUCUCCCGCAGGAGCUGUUGAAUCAGCACGCUGAAGAAGUACAGAGACUGGUGAACAAGCUGAUAAACUCAGACAGCAGCAAAAACUUCAAGCUGAACAGGAAGCUGUACAACAACCGGUCUGACAAGUUACAAGUGGUGGACCUACAUCAUCUAGAUGUACAGGUACAAAUUCUACUAGUACGAUUCGAUGCAGUGGAAGAGGUUGAAGUUGACGUUUAAGCAGUCACCCUGCCGAACAAGAAAUCAGUCAGGCAAAGAGGCUAGGUUGACUAGAAACUCAAUCACUAUAUCCGUGAAACUUGCUGGAAGCUAUGUGUGGAGGUCGGACCGAAACUGUAAUCAGACACUAAACAUUAACGAGGACCAAUUAUUUUACUCCCUUAAUGAUGAAUAAAGAUCGCUGAUUGCUUUUACUAAUAUAUAGUGUUAAAAUGAAAGAGAAACUGUUGAGACGAAAGAGAAAAACGCACUCAUUUAUUUAUAGUUUUAUGUCUUAACAAUGUUAUUCGAAAGCUAAUUUUAAAAGCUGGCUCUGAAUCCUUGCUAAAUGAUUUGGGAAGGUGUAAGGGCUAAAUAUGCCUGUAGACAUCAUUUUCAGUGGGUUUUAUGAAGUUUAUGAUUAGGGUAUAUUUUGGGACUGAAAUAAGCGCAAGACCUUCGACGUUUCUAUUCCUACUGUUUUUUUAAUUUAGCAAAUAUACAAAAAAAAAUUAUACUGUCGUAAAGAUAAAAUGUUUAGUCAUCGGAUAGAUACUUCAAAAUUAAGUAUUAAAAUAACCGAGCUAAGAUAUUCAAUGUUAAACUCAAAAAUGUUCACGCGUUUAUGAAGAAAUAUCUAAUUCUGCGCGUAGUUUUUUGGUCAC